RNAcentral lists this ribosomal RNA (253 nucleotides) under uncultured bacterium. Its description in RNAcentral is "partial 16S ribosomal RNA". It matches the Rfam family "Bacterial small subunit ribosomal RNA", at positions 524 to 776 of the family's 1533-position model. The record is from RNAcentral.
GACGUAGGGCGCGAGCGUUGUCCGGAUUUAUUGGGCGUAAAGAGCUCGUAGGCGGUUUGUCGCGUCUGCUGUGAAAACCGGAGGCUCAACCUCUGGCCUGCAGUGGGUACGGGCAGACUAGAGUGCGGUAGGGGAGAUUGGAAUUCCUGGUGUAGCGGUGGAAUGCGCAGAUAUCAGGAGGAACACCGAUGGCGAAGGCAGAUCUCUGGGCCGUAACUGACGCUGAGGAGCGAAAGCAUGGGGAGCGAACAGG